GCCCUGGCGGCUCAGUUGGUUGGAGCAUUGUCCUGAUGCGCCAGGGUUGUGGGUUCGAUCGCCGCUCAGGGCA
This is a non-coding RNA of Myotis lucifugus (little brown bat), 73 nucleotides long. Lineage: Eukaryota; Metazoa; Chordata; Mammalia; Chiroptera; Vespertilionidae. The record is from Rfam.